ACGGGUGAGUAAUGUCUGGGAAACUGCCUGAUGGAGGGGGAUAACUACUGGAAACGGUGGCUAAUACCGCAUAACCUCGCAAGAGCAAAGAGGGGGACCUUCGGGCCUCUCGCCAUCAGAUGUGCCCAGAUGGGAUUAGCUAGUAGGUGAGGUAAUGGCUCACCUAGGCGACGAUCCCUAGCUGGUCUGAGAGGAUGACCAGCCACACUGGAACUGAGACACGGUCCAGACUCCUACGGGAGGCAGCAGUGGGGAAUAUUGCACAAUGGGCGCAAGCCUGAUGCAGCCAUGCCGCGUGUGUGAAGAAGGCCUUCGGGUUGUAAAGCACUUUCAGCGAGGAGGAAGGCAGUCGUGUUAAUAGCACGGCUGAUUGACGUUACUCGCAGAAGAGGCACCGGCUAACUCCGUGCCAGCAGCCGCGGUAAUACGGAGGGUGCAAGCGUUAAUCGGAAUGACUGGGCGUAAAGCGCACGCAGGCGGUCUGUUAAGUUGGAUGUGAAAUCCCCGGGCUUAACCUGGGAACUGCAUUCAAAACUGACAGGCUAGAGUCUUGUAGAGGGGGGUAGAAUUCCAGGUGUAGCAG
Molecule: ribosomal RNA, 583 nt
Filed under: uncultured bacterium
Lineage: Bacteria
Description: bacterial SSU rRNA
Rfam family: Bacterial small subunit ribosomal RNA
Source: RNAcentral